Molecule: long non-coding RNA, 707 nt
Organism: Chelonia mydas (Green sea turtle)
Lineage: Eukaryota; Metazoa; Chordata; Testudines; Cheloniidae
Exons: 3
Source: RefSeq, a predicted model, not a curated record
GCUUCUCUCUGGCUGUGUGGCUGCCCCUGCUCCUCCUGAGUCCUCCAGCCUGCGCUCGCAGGCCAGAUUCAGAAAGGGGGCGGGGCUUUAGGGGCUGAAGCCCAGGUCUCCAGGGCCCACUUAGCCCUGAGCUGCAGCCCCUAAAGCCCUUGCAUUCCGGCCCUGCCUGGCGGGAGGGGAGGAGGCUCCGAGAAUGGCGGCCAAUGGGAGCUGCGGGGGGAGCGGUGUCUGCGGGGCAAGCAUAGGGCCUCACAGAGCCACCUGAACUCCCUGCGCACCAAACGGGGGAUGCCCUAGGCAGUAAGUUAUUGCUGUUACAAAAUGGGAAUGAACAAAAGGAGGAAAGAGUCAUGCCUGUGGAUUAUGGACAUGGGUAAAGCAUCUUUGACCAGUGAAAGCCAGUGAGCAAAUCUACUCAGCAACACAUUCACUGUAAAUGCAUCAGACCUGUCAUCCACUCUCUCCACCAACUUCCCAUAGAAUAUCCAGACAAAUUCAGCAUCUCUGUCCUUCCAAAUGCCCGCUGCCCUGGGCUCCAGGAUGGGGACCAUGACUGACUACUCUGCACUUCAGCCCAAUGGAGCUGCAAAGGUGGAUGGACAUUGGAAAUGUGUGCUGUGCCCCCAGGGAACGUUUGAAGCAUGCACAGUAUUAAAGGUGCAAGUCGGAAGAAUGUCUUGGGUUGUGCCAGUAAGAAGAAAGUAGGC